Molecule: transfer RNA, 62 nt
Filed under: Elodia flavipalpis
Lineage: Eukaryota; Metazoa; Arthropoda; Insecta; Diptera; Tachinidae
Description: tRNA-Glu
Source: RNAcentral
AUUUAUAUAGUUUAAUUAAAACAUUACAUUUUCAUUGUAAAAUUAAAAAAUUUUUAUAAAUU